Molecule: non-coding RNA, 26 nt
Filed under: Mus musculus (house mouse)
Lineage: Eukaryota; Metazoa; Chordata; Mammalia; Rodentia; Muridae
Source: RNAcentral
UAGUGGAUUACAUUGAUGGGUUUCCG